Molecule: ribosomal RNA, 513 nt
Filed under: Caulobacter sp. KIN53
Lineage: Bacteria; Pseudomonadati; Pseudomonadota; Alphaproteobacteria; Caulobacterales; Caulobacteraceae
Description: bacterial SSU rRNA
Rfam family: Bacterial small subunit ribosomal RNA
Source: RNAcentral
AACUUGAGCUAAUACCGUAUGUGCCCUUCGGGGGAAAGAUUUAUCGCCAUUGGAGCGGCCCGCGUCUGAUUAGCUAGUUGGUGAGGUAAUGGCUCACCAAGGCUACGAUCAGUAGCUGGUCUGAGAGGAUGACCAGCCACAUUGGGACUGAGACACGGCCCAAACUCCUACGGGAGGCAGCAGUGGGGAAUCUUGCGCAAUGGGCGAAAGCCUGACGCAGCCAUGCCGCGUGGAUGAUGAAGGUCUUAGGAUUGUAAAAUCCUUUCACCGGGGACGAUAAUGACGGUACCCGGAGAAGAAGCCCCGGCUAACUUCGUGCCAGCAGCCGCGGUAAUACGAAGGGGGCUAGCGUUGCUCGGAAUUACUGGGCGUAAAGGGCGCGUAGGCGGACAUUUAAGUCGGGGGUGAAAUCCCAGGGCUCAACCCUGGAACUGCCUUCGAUACUGGAUGUCUUGAGUGCGGGAGAGGUGUGUGGAACUCCGAGUGUAGAGGUGAAAUUCGUAGAUAUUCGGA